GCACUCACUUCAGCAGCACAUAUACUAAAAUUGGAGUGACACAUAGAAGAUUAGCAUGGCCCCUAUGCAAGGAUGACAUGCAAAUUCACGAAGCAUUCCGUAUUUUU
Small nuclear RNA from Pongo abelii (Sumatran orangutan), 107 nucleotides. The record is from Ensembl. NCBI's taxonomy places the organism in Eukaryota, Metazoa, Chordata, Mammalia, Primates, Hominidae.